Molecule: ribosomal RNA, 501 nt
Filed under: uncultured bacterium
Lineage: Bacteria
Description: partial 16S ribosomal RNA
Rfam family: Bacterial small subunit ribosomal RNA
Source: RNAcentral
AUUGAACGCUGGCGGCAGGCUUAACACACGCAAGUCGAGCGGGGGAAGGUAGCUUGCUACCGGACCUAGCGGCGGACAGGUGAGUAAUGCUUAGGAAUCUGCCUAUUAGUGGGGGACAACAUCUCGAAAGGGAUGCUAAUACCGCAUACGUCCUACGGGAGAAAGCAGGGGAUCUUCGGACCUUGCGCCAAUAGAUGAGCCUAAGUCGGAUUAGCUAGUUGGUGGGGUAAAGGCCUACCAAGGCGACGAUCUGUAGCGGGUCUGAGAGGAUGAUCCGCCACACUGGGACUGAGACACGGCCCAGACUCCUACGGGAGGCAGCAGUGGGGAAUAUUGGACAAUGGGGGGAACCCUGAUCCAGCCAUGCCGCGUGUGUGAAGAAGGCCUUAUGGUUGUAAAGCACUUUAAGCGAGGAGGAGGCUACUCUAGUUAAUACCUAGGGAUAGUGGACGUUACUCGCAGAAUAAGCACCGGCUAACUCUGUGCCAGCCGCCGCAGUAA